Non-coding RNA from Peromyscus maniculatus bairdii (prairie deer mouse), 1946 nucleotides. NCBI's taxonomy places the organism in Eukaryota, Metazoa, Chordata, Mammalia, Rodentia, Cricetidae. The record is from RefSeq and is a predicted model, not a curated record.
ACUCCAGGUGGGUUCUAACAGAAGCGACAUGUGAAACCACUAAGGACAGAGACCUAGUUUCCUAGGGAGCCUGUGCCAACAUCAAAGAUGGAUGGAAGGAUUAGCAAGUGUUGACGUUUCCAUGCGCUAUCAGCUGUUGGCGCAAAGCAACCACAGUCUCACAGGCUCAAGAGGACAGCGCCGCCGCCGGCUGGUGAAGGGGCUCAGAAUAGUUGACCCAUGAGUCAACAGAAGUAAAGGCAAACCCGAGGAGGGCCCCGGGUCCUUAGGACAGAAGAGGAGGUGCGUCGAUGGCAUCCCUUCAGGCUGGCGUGGCAUCCCUAGCUGGAGGAAGCACCCUGUUGAUCUUGAGUGCAGAGCUGAGUCUCCCAGGGCUGUUAGUCACCCACAGUCCUGGUCCUUAUCUUGUAGAUGAAGUGGUUGGAUUGUUCCACGCCGAGGUUCUAUCUAAGGCAGAGGCCUGUUUAAACGUAGGGAACAAAGCAGUGCUUUGCCAUCCAGCCCCAAGAAAAACAAAAUGCGGCUUCCGGGAGGAGGAAGCCUUGCUGCCGAGCCUGGUGAGAUGGGUAGAGUUAGGAGUUUUUGCCAAAGGGAGAGAAGGCGCCAAGCCCAGGGCGGAGGCCCAGGAGCCGAAGACAGCGUAAGUCCCAGCUAUGAAGUGAGCAGUUUUCCUCCUGCGACGCGCCUUGCCGCAGGCCUAACACAGCAGGGCUGGCUGAAACACAGACGGAAACCUCCCACGCCGGCCCACUCUGAAUCUUUAGCUGUUUACCGCCAGUGCUUUGCCAGCCACAGAAGGUGACUAGGAGAACUGGAAGGAAGGGAAACUUCGGGAAGACUGAUGAGGCAACAGAGUGUGGUCAGCCUGAGGCAGGAAAGGGGCUGUAGUUGGGACCAGCAGCCUCUCUCCACACUGGGCACAUGGCAUGGCUUGUCUUGCUUUGGCAUGGGAGGUGGUGGUACGGAAUUUCCUGAGGGAGCCGUGAACAGGCGCAGGGGGACCCACCCUGCCAUCUGCUGUAUUAUUAAAGACAGAACCCUUCAAUUUUAGCCAGACACAUAAAGCCACGUAACUACAUAUGGUCCAUGACUUGACUUCUAGAAAAGAGCUUUCCCAGGGACUGGAAGGUGGAUGACGGCUGGAGCCCAGUGGCUCUCUUGAGCCAUGAGGUAAAAGUUCACGCCUAGAAUGAUGGAGCCGUCAGAUGCUGGUUCACAGUGAGGGCCGCUUUACCACACCUGUUCCACACUGCCGAGCACACACUCAUGGAAACUUUCCUGGAAGAGAAAGGUGCGUGUCCACAAGACGUCAUCUCCCACCACUCUCAGCACUGAAAAGACCCAGUUAUUCACCCGAAGAUUGAUAUGUGUGGGUGUAGAGUUUUGGAGGUGGGAGAACCACUGAUACUAGGCCAUGAUGGCCUAUAGACACAUUUUUCUUCAGUGCACAACUUGCUCGUCCGCUCCUGCUAGAAAAGCUCGUGUCCUCUAUGUCCCUUGGCUCCUUCUCCUGGAAGGACACCCCUCUCUGUUCCCUAGGUCCUGGGCAGUCUGCUCCUAACUGACAUAAUCUCUCUUCCAACCAGGAGCAAUAGACUUGAAGACAAAGCCGGGUGUUAUACAUGCCUACCGUCAGGGUAGGAACAUUUCAGGUUCAAGGCCAGCUUGGUCUACAUGGUGAGACUCUGUCUCUAAACUAAAUGAGGACACUGGUUCUCCGAGUUAGAAUUGGAUGUGUGCACUGCCCUUUGUGAACUGGACCUCGUCGCUGAGCAGCGGCUUCUAGAUAGAAAAUCUUUCAAGUGGCCUCUGUGAUUGCCACUGUUUAGUUCUUAAAGCUUUCUUAAUUCCUAAUGUGGCAUAUCACGUGAUCUCUGUCCUAAAGGAUGCCUUGUUCCAAGUCCUGACUGGUGGGGUCAGGGAAAUGACAAUUACGGAAGAAAUAG